Molecule: long non-coding RNA, 2056 nt
Organism: Pan troglodytes (chimpanzee)
Lineage: Eukaryota; Metazoa; Chordata; Mammalia; Primates; Hominidae
Exons: 12
Source: RefSeq, a predicted model, not a curated record
UAAGAAUGUAAGCUCAUUACUUCUAUGGUUUCAGAGCACCAGACUGCAACCUUUUUAUCUGAGUGAGUGGAAAAAAAGCAUUCAGAUGGACACAAAUAGGAAGAAUGGAGUAGAGGGUUCAGCUUACAGGGAGGAGCGUUUAUGGCCUUACGUCAAUGAAGCACAGGUUACGGCAUGGCAAGAGUCUGUUUACCAAGGACCCUUUGGUAACACUGCUUACUGACUGGCUAUGAAGUGGUGGCUUGGCUGCAGCUCUGCUGAGGAUGCCAGAGAACAGGACAGUACCAGAAAACGCUGCUCUAUCUGAAAUCAGUGAGGCCAAGGUCCUAAGGUAAUUGUGGUCUUUUGCUGUUCAAGGUCAAGGCCUUUUUCCUCCUUAUAGGCCAGUUUCAAGCUCAUUUUAAACCAAUUCCCACUCCCCUCUAAUCUGUGACAAAAAGAAGAGAAAUUCUGCCAGGAUGACAGCUAAUGACAGAAGCAGAAAUGAGAUUCAGAUAGAGACACAGUGCCUCUAAAUUCCUGAAGAAGAUGCUACUCCUUGGGGUUAAAUUGAUAAUGAUUGGCUCAGUCAUUGUCUGGGAGCAGUCCAUAGGAAGUGGACUAUUGGUGGGAACACAGUGAUGAUGUCAAAAUUCAGAAGCUGGGGUUCUCAGGUUUUGCUUUGUGGCUACCACAAGCCUGGAAAGGCUUCUUCUGAAGAAAGAGAUGUAUGAAUCAAAUACAUUCAAAAACAAUUGCUCCAAGGAGUAUUAUAAUAAUUUCUUUCACUGCCCUAACACAAUCUUCUGAUAAACUCUUAAGAUUUCUAUCUGGGAAAGAAGAUUUUCCAAGAAGAGAUUGUGGUACUCAACACUAACAACUCCCUCUAGACAUCAGACAUGCUCCUGUUCAGAUCUACACACUUUCUUAUGACAGCACCUAGAGGAAGAAAUGAAUGGGAUGGAACUUACUGAACAGCUACUAUAUAGCAGAUGGAGUCUUGCUCUGUCACCAGGCUGGAGGGCAGUGGCGUGAUCUCGGCUCACUGCAACCUCUGCCUCCCAGGGUCAAGUGGUUCUCCUGCCUCAGCCUCCUGAGUAGCUGGGACUACAGAUUUAUAGGAGAAAGGGUCUGGAAAUUCCUUGAGAUUUAAAUUUGAUAAAAUUUAAAUUUGUGGACUGAAGUGGCUCUUACCAGAAAAAAUACUCGAAGAGGGAAUUUGUAACAAGAGGAAUAUGGGGUUUCAAGUGGGGAUUAAAUCUUGAAUCAAGGACCAGAGACUGAGGAAGACAGAUGAUUCAGAACCUAUGAAGCAGCAGAUACUGAAACCUAAUCUGACGUCACAAACCUGACAGCUACUUUGUGACUCAGAAAGAGAUCAAGGCACAGACAUCAGAGUCCAAGUCUUGCUGUGAGGACACAGGGAGAAGACAGCCAUCUACAAAACAAGGAUAGAGCCUCACAAUAAAAACCACCCCGCAGCUACCUUGAUCUUGAACUUCUAAUCUCUAGAAUGGCUGUACAAGAAGCAUGGCACUGGCAUCUGUCUGACUUCUGGCAAGGGCCUCAGGCUGCUUCUACUCAUAAGAGAAGGUGAAGGGGACCCAGAUGUGCAGAGAUCACAUGGCAAGAGAGGAAGCAAGAGAGAGAAGAGGGAUUUGCCAGGCUCCUUUUAACAACAAGCUACCUGGGAGCUAAUAGAGUAAGAACUCACUCAGCCCUGAGGGAGGGCAUUAAUCUACUAACAAGAUAUCUGCCCCCAUGACUCAAACACUUCUCAUUAGACUCCACCCCCUACAUGAGAUUUGGUAGGGACAGACAAAUCAUAGCUGCUAUACUAUAUUAUAAUUUGUAUUGUUAUGAUAUACCUCUUCUGCUAUAAAAAAAUGGAGUUAACUGUAAAACAGCCUCAGGCAGGUCCUUUAGAAGGUAUUACAGAAGAAGGCAUUUUUAUCAAAGGAGAUGAUGACUCCAUGCAUGCCACUGCCCCUGAACACCUUCCAGUGGGACAACAUGUGGAGAUGAAUGACAAAUGAAAAUAUGGGAAGGUGAUAAAGAAUAAAAUUUCUAUUUUCCU